This 462-nucleotide ribosomal RNA is filed under the name uncultured bacterium. RNAcentral describes it as "partial 16S ribosomal RNA". It matches the Rfam family "Bacterial small subunit ribosomal RNA", at positions 28 to 507 of the family's 1533-position model. The record is from RNAcentral.
GAUGAACGCUGACAGAAUGCUUAACACAUGCAAGUCAUUGGCGAAGCUGCGCUUGCGCAGUCUAGCCAAGGCGGACGGGUGAGUAACGCGUAAGGAACUUGCCCUGCAGACAGGGAUAACAGACGGAAACGACUGAUAACACCUGGUAUUGUCAGGCUGGCGCAUGCCGGCCUGAUGAAAGGAGACGCUGCAGGAGAGCCUUGCGUCCUAUUAGCUAGUUGGUGGGGUAACGGCCCACCAAGGCGAUGAUAGGUAGCCGGCCUGAGAGGGUGAACGGCCACAAGGGGACUGAGAUACGGCCCUUACUCCUACGGGAGGCAGCAGUGGGGAAUAUUGGACAAUGGGGGCAACCCUGAUCCAGCAAUUCUGUGUGCACGAAGAAGGUUUUAGGACUGUAAAGUGCUUUCAGCAGGGAAGAAGAAAGUGACGGUACCUGCAGAAGAAGCGACGGCUAAAUACGUG